RNAcentral lists this ribosomal RNA (468 nucleotides) under uncultured bacterium. RNAcentral describes it as "partial 16S ribosomal RNA". It matches the Rfam family "Bacterial small subunit ribosomal RNA", at positions 28 to 507 of the family's 1533-position model. The record is from RNAcentral.
GACGAACGCUGGCGGCGUGCUUAACACAUGCAAGUCGAACGGAAAGGCCCUGCUUUUGUGGGGUGCUCGAGUGGCGAACGGGUGAGUAACACGUGAGUAACCUGCCCUUGACUUUGGGAUAACUUCAGGAAACUGGGGCUAAUACCGGAUAGGAGCUCCUGCUGCAUGGUGGGGGCUGGAAAGUUUCGGCGGUUGGGGAUGGACUCGCGGCUUAUCAGCUUGUUGGUGGGGUAGUGGCUUACCAAGGCUUUGACGGGUAGCCGGCCUGAGAGGGUGACCGGCCACAUUGGGACUGAGAUACGGCCCAGACUCCUACGGGAGGCAGCAGUGGGGAAUAUUGCACAAUGGGCGGAAGCCUGAUGCAGCAACGCCGCGUGCGGGAUGACGGCCUUCGGGUUGUAAACCGCUUUCGCCUGUGACAAAGCGUGAGUGACGGUAAUGGGUAAAGAAGCACCGGCUAACUACGUG